GAUCAUGGCUCAGGAUGAACGCUGGCGGCGUGCUUAACACAUGCAAGUCGAGCGAAGCACUUAAGUUUGAUUCUUCGGAUGAAGACUUUUGUGACUGAGCGGCGGACGGGUGAGUAACGCGUGGGUAACCUGCCUCAUACAGGGGGAUAACAGUUAGAAAUGACUGCUAAUACCGCAUAAGCGCACAGUACCGCAUGGUACGGUGUGAAAAACUCCGGUGGUAUGAGAUGGACCCG
Molecule: ribosomal RNA, 236 nt
Filed under: uncultured bacterium
Lineage: Bacteria
Description: partial 16S ribosomal RNA
Rfam family: Bacterial small subunit ribosomal RNA
Source: RNAcentral